Non-coding RNA from Vicia faba (fava bean), 228 nucleotides. The record is from the annotation of a GenBank genome assembly. Lineage: Eukaryota; Viridiplantae; Streptophyta; Magnoliopsida; Fabales; Fabaceae.
AUGCAUCUUCUUCAACCUUUUUUCCACCAUCUUCUCGUAUCAUCAUCAAUAUUCAAUAUUCUGCAUAAAAUCAAAAGACCAGAAAAAUUCUCUGAAAUUCCCUCUUCUUCCUCUCCCUGCAUUCACUCUCAUGUUUCUUCAUCACCUUCAUACCACAGAUCUUCACGCCCUCUUCAUUCUUCAAACUGCAGAAGAAUUACAAAGUUAGAAGAAAUUAUCUCUUCAUGA